RNAcentral lists this long non-coding RNA (1738 nucleotides) under Zea mays. RNAcentral's name for it is "long non-coding RNA (ZMAY_LNC005840)". Lineage: Eukaryota; Viridiplantae; Streptophyta; Magnoliopsida; Poales; Poaceae. The record is from RNAcentral.
GGCCAUUGAUCGUCGACCAGAGGCUCAUACACCUCACCCCACAUAUGUUUCCUUGCCAUAGAUGACAUUCUUGGAUUUCUGGUGGAGACCAUUUCUUGGUCAAAAAUCCGUAGGUGUUAGCCUUCGAUAUUAUUGAAAAUGGUCGUUCAUGGCUACUUUCGACAAAAAUGGGGGUUGUGUGGCCAUUGAUCAUCGACCAGAGGCUCAUACACCUCACCCCACAUAUGUUUCCUUGCCAUAGAUCACAUUCUUGGAUUUUGGUGGAGACCAUUUCUUGGUCAAAAAUCGUAGGUGUUAGCCUUCGUAUUAUUGAAAAUGGUCUUCAUGGCUAUUUUCGCAAAAUGGGGGUUGUGUGGCCAUUGAUCAUCGACCAGAGGCUCAUACACCUCACCCCACAUAUGUUUCCUUGCCAUAGAUCACAUUCUUGGAUUUCUGGUGGAGACCAUUUCUUGGUCAAAAAUCCGUAGGUGUUAGCCUUCGGUAUUAUUGAAAAUGGUCGUUCAUGGCUAUUUUCGACAAAAAUGGGGGUUGUGUGGCCAUUGAUCAUCGACCAGAGCUCAUACACCUCACCCCACAUAUGUUUCCUUGCCAUAGAUCACAUUCUUGGAUUUCUGGUGGAGACCAUUUCUUGGUCAAAAAUCCGUAGGUGUUAGCCUUAGUAUUAUUGAAAAUGGUCGUCAUGGCUAUUUUCGGACAAAAAUGGGGGUUGUGUGGCCAUUGAUCAUCGACCAGAGGCUCAUACACCUCACCCCACAUAUGUUUCCUUGCCAUAGAUCACAUUCUUGGAUUUCUGGUGGAGACCAUUUCUUGGUCAAAAAUCCGUAGUGUUAGCCUUCGGUAUUAUUGAAAAUGGUCAUUCAUGGCUAUUUUCGCAAAAUGGGGGUUGUGUGGCCAUUGAUCUCGACCAGAGGCUCAUACACCUCACCCCACAUAUGUUUCCUUGCCAUAGAUCACAUUCUUGGAUUUCUGGUGGAGACCAUUUCUUGGUCAAAAAUCCGUAGGUGUUAGCCUUCGUAUUAUUGAAAAUGGUCUUCAUGGCUAUUUUCGGACAAAAUGGGGGUUGUGUGGCCAUUGAUCGUCGACCAGAGGCUCAUACACCUCACCCCACAUAUGUUUCCUUGCCAUAGAUCACAUUCUUGGAUUUCUGGUGGAGACCAUUUCUUGGUCAAAAAUCCGUAGGUGUUAGCCUUCGUAUUAUUGAAAAUGGUCGUUCAUGGCUAUUUUCGACAAAAAUGGGGGUUGUGUGGCCAUUGAUCAUUGACUAGAGGCUCAUACACCUCACCCCACAUAUGUUUCCUUGCCAUAGAUCACAUUCUUGGAUUUCUGGUGGAGACCAUUUCUUGGUCAAAAAUCCGUAGGUGUUAGCCUUCGGUAUUAUUGAAAAUGGUCGUUCAUGGCUAUUUUCGACAAAAAUGGGGGUUGUGUGGCCAUUGAUCGUCGACCAGAGGCUCAUACACCUCACCCCACAUAUGUUUCCUUGCCAUAGAUCACAUUCUUGGAUUUCUGGUGGAGACCAUUUCUUGGUCAAAAAUCGUAGGUGUUAGCCUUCGUAUUAUUGAAAAUGGUCGUUCAUGGCUAUUUUUGACAAAAAUGGGGGUUGUGUGGCCAUUGAUCGUCGACCAGAGGCUCAUACACCUCACCCCACAUAUGUUUCCUUGCCAUAGAUCACAUUCUUGGAUUUCUGGUGGAGACCAUUUCUUGGUCAAAAAUCCGUAGGUGUUAGCCUUCGGUAUUAUUG